AUACGUAGGUGACAAGCGUUAUCCGGAUUUACUGGGCGUAAAGGGCGUGUAGGCGGUCUUGCAAGUCAGAAGUGAAAUUCCUGAGCUCAACUCGGGCGCUGCUUCUGAAACUGCAGGACUUGAGUGCUGGAGGGGAUAGCGGAAUUCCUAGUGGAGCGGUAAAAUGCGCAGAUAUUAGGAAGAACACCGGUGGCGAAGGCGGCUAUCUGGACAGAAACUGACGCUGAGGCGCGAAAGCGUGGGGAGCAAACAGGAUUAGAUCCCCUGGUAGUCCACGCCGUAAACGAUGAAUACUAGGUGUAGGGGGUAUCGACUCCCUCUGUGCCGCAGUUAACACAAUAAGUAUUCCGCCUGGGGAGUACGGCCGCAAGGUUGAAACUCAAAUGAAUUGGCGGGG
RNAcentral lists this ribosomal RNA (397 nucleotides) under uncultured bacterium. RNAcentral describes it as "partial 16S ribosomal RNA". It matches the Rfam family "Bacterial small subunit ribosomal RNA", at positions 523 to 918 of the family's 1533-position model. The record is from RNAcentral.